Molecule: long non-coding RNA, 522 nt
Organism: Oryza brachyantha (malo sina)
Lineage: Eukaryota; Viridiplantae; Streptophyta; Magnoliopsida; Poales; Poaceae
Exons: 4
Source: RefSeq, a predicted model, not a curated record
GCGGCCCAUAUGUCCUCCACGAAGCAAGCAGGAUAAUCGCUUGUGGCAAGAGACCUCCUUCCUCGGUGGAGCGAGCAGGAAAACCAUCCAGUUGAGAAUUGGAAGAAGAGGAGGAAUAUAAGAUGAUUGGGUCGAUAGGUAGAAGAAGAAGAAGAAGAAGAUGCAGAGAGGCACUUCUUGCUUAGGUUCUUGAAACUGAUUAGGGUGGAUUCUUGAGCAGUCACACCGUCAACAGCAUCAUGGCAAAUAUCAGGUACAUUUUUAUUACAGAAGGCCAAUUGAUCAUUACAUACUACUCCUAAGAUAGCCAGACCAGUUAAAUACUACUCCUAAGUUAACUUGAGGUUGUGGCAGUUUGUAAGGGCAUUACGUUGAGACAAUGGAUACUUUACCUAUGAUAGUUAAUAAUUAAGCAUCAAGAUGCAGAUUUUACUUAGUUUAACGAUAUUUCAUAGCUAUGAAUGGGGCACUGCAAUGGCUUGUUUACUCUAUAAACUUGUGGUAAUACAAUAUUGUUGCCUG